UCUGUUUAUUGAUCAACUAUAAAAUAUCGAGUCACUAAAACAAUUCUUAAAAGAAACACUGAUAGACGUGGUUGCAGUCUGUAAAAAAAGAAAGAAAACAUCCACAGCAGGUAUAGAGGGACAGAAUACAUCUGGUUACAGAUUCAUCUCUAAAAUGUUCUUUUUGCAUUUUUACAAGAUUAGACAUGUGUACAAAGUAUAUUCUGAUAGAUUUUUCUCCACUAGGCUGUGAAGGAUCAUUUACAAAACAUAGAUAAUUUUUCUAUUUAUUUUCAAAAUAAUCUUUUUUUUUUUUCUGUAACAGGACAAUAACGAUACUGAAGGAACAGCAGACGAAGAACCAGCCUCCAGUCCACCUCUCUCUCUCUCUCUGUGUCUCUCUGUCUCUCUCUCUCUCAGUCUCUGUCUGUCUGUCUCUCUGUCUCUCUCUCUCUCUCUCUCUCUCUCUAGCAGCUAGCUGCAGGGCCCGUCAGUACUACAACUGAACAGGCACUGGCGUGGACAAUUGUUCAGGGAGGGAAAGCAAGGGGAAAACAAAAAAAAGAAAACAUGCCAAAAAAAAUCAGCAAAAACAAACAUUUAAAAGAGAAGCCAAAGCAAAACGGACAGUGAAGAAAAAAACGACGUAUGCAAUAACUCAGGCUCUUAAACGUAUGACCCCAAAUGAAAAUGAAGGCAUACGGUUGGGCUUUAGAUGGAGAUAUGGGGGCAAAUAGAGAUUGGAAGGCAAUAACACGCACACCUAAAAGGGCUACAGGUGUGUGCAAAUACCAGAGGAUAAAAGUCUCACUCACUGAGAGAAAAGGUGCUUUAGCAGCUCGGGGGUAAACAAACAUUCAUAACGGGCUGGGCUCCGCCAACCGGUGCAACCUGCGUACAGCCGGGACGCCAGGCCCAGAUCCAUUUUGGUCAACUGUCACUCAAACCCUUUUGUCUGCAGAAAUGAGAGUGUCGGGCUGAAGGGGCGGGCUUACCAGCAGCAGGCGGGCCUUAAGCGGAUAAGAUUUUGUGACAUCAAUCAACGGGGUAAUUUCAGAAAACUUAUUGUCACUCCGUACCUUGUUACACCACUUUCAAUACUAGCAGCACAUUUAUCAAACGCUUCUGUUGCCUCUGAAGUUCUACUAUUACUGGCAGACUUCUUUUGUCGCUUAGUACGUGACAUGAACAACAUUAACAUCUCCAGGUAUCACGCAGCCGUCUCAGAGAAAAUAUAUAUGAUAUAACCGAUAUAACAAUUCAGACAAAGGACCUCAAAAGAGUAGAAAAUAUUAAACCUAUUGAAUAUCAACAAGACAAUCUUCAAUCUCUGCAGCAAAGCUGAGAGAGGGCAACGUGGUAAAAAAAACACAAGAGCAUCAACAGAACCACAGAUAUACUAUAUGUAUAUAAAUAUAUACGGCAUUCUAUAUACUGCGCAUAGAUCUGAUACAACUCCACACACAAUAGUGUAACAAAGUCGGUUAAAAUUUAAAUUGUAAAUCGCAUAGAACAGAUGUUUCUGGGGGGGGGGCACCAAUUUCAUUUGAUUGGGGGCAGAAGGGGGCGGAACAUUAGCAACGUUUUGGCGAAUCAUCAUAAGGCCUGGGAGAGGAAGGCCGCCCAAAAGCUCACAACCAUGAGCACGACAUUCAACUGACUCCCCCUAAAAUACGGUUAAACUAGGCACGUGGAAGGGAGGGGAGGAGGGGAGGAGGGGGGGAGAAAUACUCUCGGAGGACUCCG
Gasterosteus aculeatus aculeatus (three-spined stickleback) is the source of this 1725-nucleotide long non-coding RNA. NCBI's taxonomy places the organism in Eukaryota, Metazoa, Chordata, Actinopteri, Perciformes, Gasterosteidae. The record is from Ensembl.